GGAGGCAGCAGUGGGGAAUCUUGGCGCAAUGGCCGAAAGGCUGACGCAGCGACGCCGCGUGUGGGAGGACGCCUUUCGGGGUGUAAACCACUGUUGCCCGGGACGAAUAUCCCAUUUUGAUGGGAUUGACGGU
RNAcentral lists this ribosomal RNA (133 nucleotides) under uncultured bacterium. RNAcentral's name for it is "partial 16S ribosomal RNA". It matches the Rfam family "Bacterial small subunit ribosomal RNA", at positions 344 to 476 of the family's 1533-position model. The record is from RNAcentral.